RNAcentral lists this ribosomal RNA (427 nucleotides) under uncultured bacterium. RNAcentral's name for it is "partial 16S ribosomal RNA". It matches the Rfam family "Bacterial small subunit ribosomal RNA", at positions 355 to 774 of the family's 1533-position model. The record is from RNAcentral.
UGGGGAAUAUUGCACAAUGGGCGCAAGCCUGAUGCAGCCAUGUCGCGUGUAUGAAGAAGGCCUUCGGGUUGUAAAGUACUUUCAGCGGGGAGGAAGGGAGUAAAGUUAAUACCUUUGCUCAUUGACGUUACCCGCAGAAGAAGCACCGGCUAACUCCGUGCCAGCAGCCGCGGUAAUACGGAGGGUGCAAGCGUUAAUCGGAAUUACUGGGCGUAAAGCGCACGCAGGCGGUUUGUUAAGUCAGAUGUGAAAUCCCCGGGCUCAACCUGGGAACUGCAUCUGAUACUGGCAAGCUUGAGUCUCGUAGAGGGGGGUAGAAUUCCAGGUGUAGCGGUGAAAUGCGUAGAGAUCUGGAGGAAUACCGGUGGCGAAGGCGGCCCCCUGGACGAAGACUGACGCUCAGGUGCGAAAGCGUGGGGAGCAAACA